RNAcentral lists this long non-coding RNA (1366 nucleotides) under Falco tinnunculus (common kestrel). RNAcentral's name for it is "lncRNA (ENSFTIG00000004363.1)". Lineage: Eukaryota; Metazoa; Chordata; Aves; Falconiformes; Falconidae. The record is from RNAcentral.
GAUUUUAGUCUUGCCCAAGAGGAAUCACCAUCUGUUGAAUCACAACUUUCACUUCCUUUGUUGCCGGAGUUUCUUAAUCUUUCAUCUCACAUUGGUCUAGCUCUGUAGAUGGGACAAUGUCACCAGAGCAGAAAUAAUCACGCUGGAGGUAAGGCUGAGGACUGCAGAGGCCAUGAGGAAAGUUACACUGAUGAAAGUGGAAAGAAUGCCAGAAAAAACCCCAACAUUGGAACAAUUGUGCAAAGACAGAUUUUCUUCUCAGUCAUUGGCUGUGGGAACAGCUUGCUGCCUAAAGAAGUGUUUACAGAGGGGGACAGCAACCCAAGUUUUCUACUUGCUGACUCACAGGAGUGCUAGUCUGUACAAGCCUUGCUGGUCACAAAUUUUCACUGUUGUAGUGAAAAUCACCUUCCAGGGCUGCUCUGCUCAGUCUGGAGCGCUGUGAAGGAAGAAUUCCCUCUCCCGUGCCAACAGCCCUAUUUCAUGCGGGUACCUACUGGAUUCUUCGCACCUUGCAAGUGGCCAUGCCUGCAGCAAAUGGUCUUUACCUGGUAAGUCAGUCAUGGGAAGAAACACAGCUAAAAUUUUCCCAGCUGUUGAACCUACAGCCAAGACUGAGUGCAGCUUGAACUCUGAAAUGUAAGAAACGUGCAAAGCACUUCUUCUCGGCCCAUGUCUGUCUCCUUGAAAUUAGCCUGCUGUUCACUUAUGACAAGGCUUCUAGUGGCUUCUGCCACACCAUUCCUGACUUACAGUGGCUCACCUAGCCUUCUCACCCUCCUUCUUGGCAAUCUAAUGGUAGCUAUUUGUAUCACUUUUAUAGCUCUGUGUUGUGUCCUGUCUUGCUACAUCGUAUUUUCAAGCAUAGACCCAGCCUGAGGAGUACUUGGAGGAAAAUCUGUGCACCUGUUUCCAGAUCUUUGGCUGCUGCAAACCAGUAAAGGAAUCCAGGCCAGUUAAUACCGGCCAAAGAAGUGGGCCAGAAGUUUGAAGCUGAAAGGCUAUAGAUCUGAGAGCUACUUGCAGCAGCUGCCUUAACAUUUGUAAUAAUGACUCAGCUGUACAGGUGAUGGCAGCAGUACACCACACGGAAACUUGGGGGCCUGGAGGCCAGAAUGAUAGGCUUUGCAAUGGGGAGCCAGUGGGAAAAACAGGGAGGUCUUUUUCAUAAAAUGCACAGAGAAAGCAACUGGGCACUAAGCUGUGCUUAAAAUGGCAAAGGCAUUUUGCAUGCUGGCCUGUCCUUGGAAAGGAGACAAGGAGCAGUGAGUGUUGACAUGGUAUUGUAGGAAUGACUGAGCUAUCAUAAAAGGACAGGUAUUUAAUCUUCCAAAAGUAGCUUAUCUCAGUCAUUUGAGCACAUGAG